RNAcentral lists this long non-coding RNA (353 nucleotides) under Elaeis guineensis (African oil palm). RNAcentral describes it as "long non-coding RNA (EGUI_LNC032644)". Lineage: Eukaryota; Viridiplantae; Streptophyta; Magnoliopsida; Arecales; Arecaceae. The record is from RNAcentral.
UUGUUGUUGCUGUUUUUAUUGCUCUUUAUUGUUGAUCAUUAUGGGGAUGAUGUUGCUGUCCUUUUCUUUCAAUUAAUCUCCUUAAAAAAAAAAGACCAUCCUAUACCACUCAAACAUGGCAGAGCUCUUCAGUAUGAUGAGAAUGGGAAGGAGGAAUUUUGACAGGAGGCAAGAGCCAUGUUCUUAUGUUGUUGCCCAUGUCCCUCCUUUCCUUUAAUCAAAGUUAUAUAAGUUGAAUUCGGCAGGGGUUGUGCCGCGUAAGUUGUCCGAGGAUGGGCAAGAGUUAGAGGUGGAUCGAUCAGGACCAAUAAAAACCAAAUGGGGAUCUUCCUUUAUAUUUUAUAGCAGCAGCA